AACGAACGCUGGCGGCAUGCCUAACACAUGCAAGUCGAACGAGAUCUUCGGAUCUAGUGGCGCACGGGUGCGUAACGCGUGGGAAUCUGCCCUUUGCUUCGGAAUAACAGUGAGAAAUUACUGCUAAUACCGGAUGAUGUCUUCGGACCAAAGAUUUAUCGGCAAAGGAUGAGCCCGCGUAGGAUUAGGUAGUUGGUGGGGUAAUGGCCUACCAAGCCGACGAUCCUUAGCUGGUCUGAGAGGUUGAUCAGCCACACUGGGACUGAGACACGGCCCAGACUCCUACGGGAAGCAGCAGUGGGGAAUAUUGGACAAUGGGGGAAACCCUGAUCCAGCAAUGCCGCGUGAGUGAUGAAGGCCUUAGGGUUGUAAAGCUCUUUUACCAGGGAUGAUAAUGACAGUACCUGGAGAAUAAGCUCCGGCUAACUCCGUG
Molecule: ribosomal RNA, 433 nt
Filed under: uncultured bacterium
Lineage: Bacteria
Description: partial 16S ribosomal RNA
Rfam family: Bacterial small subunit ribosomal RNA
Source: RNAcentral